CCUACGGGAGGCAGCAGUGAGGAAUAUUGGUCAAUGGGCGAGAGCCUGAACCAGCCAAGUCGCGUGAGGGAAGACGGUCCUAUGGAUUGUAAACCUCUUUUGCCGGGGAGCAAAAAGCGGUACGUGUACCGCAUCGAGAGUACCCGGAGAAAAAGCAUCGGCUAACUCCGUGCCAGCAGCCGCGGUAAUACGGAGGAUGCGAGCGUUAUCCGGAUUUAUUGGGUUUAAAGGGUGCGCAGGCGGCGAGUUAAGUCAGCGGUAAAAUUUCGGGGCUCAACCCCGACAAGCCGUUGAAACUGGCGUGCUAGAGUGGGCGAGAAGUAUGCGGAAUGCGUGGUGUAGCGGUGAAAUGCAUAGAUAUCACGCAGAACUCCGAUUGCGAAGGCAGCAUACCGGAACCCAACUGACGCUCAGGCACGAAAGCGUGGGUAUCGAACAGGAUUAGAUACCCGGGUAGUC
RNAcentral lists this ribosomal RNA (459 nucleotides) under uncultured bacterium. RNAcentral's name for it is "partial 16S ribosomal RNA". It matches the Rfam family "Bacterial small subunit ribosomal RNA", at positions 338 to 795 of the family's 1533-position model. The record is from RNAcentral.